RNAcentral lists this unclassified non-coding RNA (351 nucleotides) under soil metagenome. RNAcentral's name for it is "partial contains 5.8S ribosomal RNA, internal transcribed spacer 2, and large subunit ribosomal RNA". The stretch from base 1 to 120 matches the Rfam family "5.8S ribosomal RNA", at positions 35 to 154 of the family's 154-position model. The record is from RNAcentral.
GAUGAAGAACGUAGCGAAAUGCGAUAAGUAAUGUGAAUUGCAGAAUUCAGUGAAUCAUCGAAUCUUUGAACGCACAUUGCGCCCGCGAGUAUUCUCGCGGGCAUGCCUGUCCGAGCGUCAUUUCAACCCUCAGGGCCCGCCUGCUUGCAGGCGCGGCGCUGGUGUUGGGGAUCGGCUACCCUGCCGUCCCCCAAAUACAGUGGCGGUCUCGCUGCAGCCUCCCCUGCGUAGUAGCAACACUCGCAUGCGGAGCGCGGCGCGGCCACGCCGUAAAACCCCCGACGUUCUGAACGUUGACCUCGGAUCAGGUAGGAAUACCCGCUGAACUUAAGCAUAUCAAUAAGCGGAGGA